GCUGAUAUAGCACAACGGUAGUGCAGCUGAUUUGUAACCAGCAGGUUUACGGUUCGAAUCCGUAUAUCAGCU
RNAcentral lists this transfer RNA (72 nucleotides) under Enterocloster aldenensis. RNAcentral describes it as "[Clostridium] aldenense tRNA-Thr". It matches the Rfam family "tRNA". From Rfam's summary of the family: Transfer RNA (tRNA) molecules are approximately 80 nucleotides in length. Their secondary structure includes four short double-helical elements and three loops (D, anti-codon, and T loops). The record is from RNAcentral. Lineage: Bacteria; Bacillati; Bacillota; Clostridia; Lachnospirales; Lachnospiraceae.